Molecule: long non-coding RNA, 2730 nt
Organism: Cucumis sativus (cucumber)
Lineage: Eukaryota; Viridiplantae; Streptophyta; Magnoliopsida; Cucurbitales; Cucurbitaceae
Exons: 2
Source: RefSeq, a predicted model, not a curated record
UCCUUCAAUAUAAUUUAAUAUAAUUCUCAUUUUUAUGCAUACUUCUGAAAUCCAAUUUUGUGGUGGACAGUCAUUUUUCGGGUAACAGUUUCUGAAAUAGCUUUAGCAGGAGCAAUUUGAUUUGUUAAUAUAAUAGGGAUUAACUAUGAAUAUUGUUGUUUAAAUAUAAAUGUAACUUGUUAAUUGAACUAACAGCUAAUAAUUGAAGUUUGUUGGUUGGAACCAUUUGACCAGGAGUACAGGAGUUGUAUUGGGUUAAAAGGAAGUGAAUGAUAUGAUGUUGAGUAGUGUUAUGGGUGCAAGGUAAAGCAAAAAAAUUGAAAAGAUACAUUAAACUGACCAUAACUGUUAUCGGUUCAGGUUGAAAAUGAUCAGUUUGGUGGUUUUAGUUUGAAAAUGAAAAAAACCAAAAUUGUUCAGUCAGAUUUGAGUUUGGCAUAAGAAUAAAUCGAGCAAACCAAUUGAUCUAAAAAAUAAUGGAGUUUAGUUGGCAUGAAAUUAGAAUUAGUAUCCAGUAGGUCACGAGUCCCCAAUAUGCACAGGCCUGCUUAACCAAACCGUGUCUGAGAGUUAUGUCAAAUAACAUGGUUUAGUUGGCGUAAAAUUGGAACUAGUAUCCAGUAGGUCACGAGUUGCCGAUAUGUGUGUGCCUGCUUUGCCAAACAGUGGACGACCAGACCUUAGUCCGUUACAGAUAAUUCGGUUAUAUACCUUUAGUGGUUCAGUUAGGUUCCCUGAAUAUUGGCAUGCCUGCUUACCCAAAUAGUAAACCACCAGAUCUUAGUUAGCUGGUUUGAGAUGGUUUGGUUAUAACUUUAGUGGUUCAAUUAGGUUCCUUGUAUUUUCUAAUAAAUUUUGUGGUUCGAUUUCACGUGUCCAAAUUGAUUACACCCGGUUGGAAAUAUGUUGGAAACAAGGAGCUAGUUUGUUGUUUAUAGCCUCAAGGGUAUUUUUGUAAUUUACUGUACCCUAGUUUUAUUUCCUUAUCUGUUUGGAAGUAUUGUAGCGUAUAUAUAUUCUUCCCCCUUGUAUUAUUUGGAUUAUUAGAAAAUAAAAAGAGCUGCUUUUAUUGUGGUUUUUUGUUAUGGAAAUCCUAGGAUUUGGAAAUUAGGAACCCAAUUGAUGAGUCCCUAAUGUCAAAUUCUAAAACCCUCAAAUCAAUUCAGCAAUAGCCCAAGGAAUAGAUUAGAUUUGGAUUACCCUUUGAUCGAACCCAAUUGCCCCCCUAGCUCUGGUUCUAAACCAACACAAACUCAAAGUAUGACUGAACUUAAUAAUAACUUUUGUGCUGAGGAUGAUAUGGUUGAUGUGGUUGAGGAGGACAAGACUAAUAUGAUAACUCCAAGAGAGAACAACGUUGCCAUAAGUGAUGAAAUUCUAGCAGAAAAACAGAUUGGUGAGACCAGCCCAAGAUGACAGACAAACCAGGGAUAAUCUAUCGUCUAAGUUCAAGGCGUUCACUGCAAGUCUCAAUAUUGCAAGAGUACCAAAGAACAUACAUGAAGCUAUGGAGAGUCCUGAGUGGAAGAUUGCUGCACGGAAGAAAUGGGAGAGCGUGAGAAGAAUAAAACAUGGGAUCUCUGCACUAUUCCUAAGGGCACAUGACAAUGGGAUACAAAUGAGUGUUUACUGUGAAGUACAAAUUAGAUGGAACCUUAGACACCCAAGGCAAGGCUAGGCUUACUGUGAAGUACAAACUUUUCUCUUGUGGUAAAGUUAAACACAGUUGGUGCUUUUUUGUCUGUUGCAGUCAACAAAGAGUGGCCUCUAUCAAUUUGAUGUUUAGAAUGCUUUCCCAAAUGGUGAUUUGGAAGAAGUGUACAUGAGUCCUCCUCCAGGUUUUGAAGAUCAGUUUAAUCACCAAGUUUGUAAGCUUCAAAAAGUCUCUUUAUGAUCUGAAACAAUACCCCAGGGAAUGGUUCUAUAGAUUGACCACCUUUGUUAAAUCUAAAGGCUUCACCCUACAAAGAACACAUGGAAGCUCUAAAUCGUGUUCUGAUGCAUUUGACAACUACUCUAGGUAAAGGUUUGAUGUUCAGGUUACUGACAAAAAAUGUAUUGAGGCUUAUACCGACUCUGAUUGAGUAGGAUCAAUUACUGAUAGAAAGUCCACUGAGAUAUUGUACCUUUAUGUGGUGUAAUUUUGUUACUUGGAGGAGUAAGAGGUAGGGUGUUAUUGCUAGGAGUAGUGUUGAAGUUGAAUACAGAGUUAUGAGUUUGAGAAUGUGUGAAGAGAUCUAGUUGCAGAAAGUUUUGUCUGAUCUUCACUUGGACAGUGAGUUACAUAUGAAGCUCUUCUAUGAUAAUAAAACUGCUAUAAGUAUAGCUAAUGGUCCAGUUCAACAUGUCAGAACAAUACAUGUGGGGAUUGACAAACAUUUUAUAAAGGAGAAACUUGAUAGCGAGAGUAUCUUUAUUCCGUACAUUUUGUCCAGUGACCAGUCACAAAUUGUUGAAAUUUUCACCAAAGGAUUACUCAUACAAAACUUUCUCGUGUUAGCAAGUUGGGUCUAAUUAUCAUUUACACUCCAACUUGAGAAGGAGUGUUGGAAAUACGUUGGAAAUAAGGGGCUAGUUGAUUGUUUAUUAGCCUCAAGGGUAUUUUUGUGAUUUAUUAUACUAUUGUUUUAUUUCCUUAUUUGUUAUGGCUUGUUGUAGCCUAUAUAUAUUAUUCCCCCUUGUAUUCUUUGGAUUAUUAGAAAAUAACAAGAGUGGCUUCUAUUGUGUUUU